ACGGAAGGCAGCAGUGGGGGAUAUUGCACAAUGGGGGAAACCCUGAUGCAGCGACGCCGCGUGAGUGAAGAAGUAUUUCGGUAUGUAAAGCUCUAUCAGCAGGAAAGAUAAUGACGGUACCUGACUAAGAAGCACCGGCUAAAUACGUGCCAGCAGCCGCGGUAAUACGUAUGGUGCAAGCGUUAUCCGGAUUUACUGGGUGUAAGGGAGCGUAGACGGCAUGGCAAGCCAGAUGUGAAAGGCAGGGGCUCAACUCCUGGACUGCAUUUGGAACUGUCAAGCUAGAGUAUCGGGGAGGUAAGUGGAAUUCCUAGUGUAGCGGUGAAAUGCGUAGAUAUUAGGAGGAACACCAGUGGCGAAGGCGGCUUGCUGGACGAUAACUGACGUUGAGGCUCGAAAGCGUGGGGAGCAAACAGGAUUAGAUACCCUGGUA
Molecule: ribosomal RNA, 433 nt
Filed under: uncultured Lachnospiraceae bacterium
Lineage: Bacteria; Bacillati; Bacillota; Clostridia; Lachnospirales; Lachnospiraceae
Description: partial 16S ribosomal RNA
Rfam family: Bacterial small subunit ribosomal RNA
Source: RNAcentral